GACAGUGGCCACAAGGAGCAAGAGUAGCUUGCCAGCUCCUUCUCUUUGAAGGCUGGCCGUUAUGUUCCAGUGUCACAGCUGAGGCUGUGUGUAUGUGACUUCCUGCCUGGCUUUGGAUGAACUGGGAUGUGCAGCAGGCACAAUGUGCUCAUCUUCUGAUGCCUUAAAUGCUGGAAGUCUUCAUACAUUCAGAAUGCAGACCACAGUGGCCUCUUCUUGGGCAUCCCCAAAGCUGUGCUCUCCUGCUGAGUUUGAUUUUGGGGGUAAUGCAUAACUUGUUCUUGUUCUUGCUGUGCUGGCUGGAUUAAUCAAACCCCUCUGGGAAGUUCUGCCUUCAUUCCCUGCAGUAAAAACUCGACUGAGCAAUACUGGACAUGUCCAUCAGAGCUCACCAGCCUACCCCUUGCAACGUGUGCAUCUCCCAGACUGCUCUCAGAUCUAUGUGCACAAGCUGUAUGAGAAGCUCCAGUGCCACUGCUUCCCAACUCAAGGUCUGGACCAUUUCAGAAGGAAAAAGUGCCACAGAAGAACUUUCUGUCUGUUCUGAGGCCAAGAGUAGGAGCAUGGCUCAGAGAAGAGUCCGGGCACAACGGAGAAGACAGGAUGGUCUGCAAGGGCAAGUCCUGAUUUCUGCACCAAAAAACGGUUCUGCAAGCUUAGCCUAAUUGCACCGAGUGUUGGCAGCAUGUCAGUGCUGUAGAAAAUCAGGAGAGGUUAAGAUCUUGUUAAUUUGUACACACACAAGGGGAUCGGGAAGGA
RNAcentral lists this long non-coding RNA (759 nucleotides) under Chrysolophus pictus (golden pheasant). RNAcentral describes it as "lncRNA (ENSCPIG00010012609.1)". The record is from RNAcentral. Lineage: Eukaryota; Metazoa; Chordata; Aves; Galliformes; Phasianidae.